GAGGGUAUAGCUCAGUGGUAGAGCGCAUGCCUAGCAAGCACGAGGUCCUGGGUUCAAUCCCCAGUGCCUCCA
RNAcentral lists this transfer RNA (72 nucleotides) under Camelus dromedarius (Arabian camel). It matches the Rfam family "tRNA". Rfam says of the family: Transfer RNA (tRNA) molecules are approximately 80 nucleotides in length. Their secondary structure includes four short double-helical elements and three loops (D, anti-codon, and T loops). Further hydrogen bonds mediate the characteristic L-shaped molecular structure. tRNAs have two regions of fundamental functional importance: the anti-codon, which is responsible for specific mRNA codon recognition, and the 3' end, to which the tRNAs corresponding amino acid is attached (by aminoacyl-tRNA synthetases). tRNAs cope with the degeneracy of the genetic code in two manners: having more than one tRNA (with a specific anti-codon) for a particular amino acid; and 'wobble' base-pairing, i.e. permitting non-standard base-pairing at the 3rd anti-codon position. RNAcentral also lists the same sequence under 2 other names. Lineage: Eukaryota; Metazoa; Chordata; Mammalia; Artiodactyla; Camelidae. The record is from Rfam by way of RNAcentral.